RNAcentral lists this unclassified non-coding RNA (274 nucleotides) under uncultured fungus. RNAcentral's name for it is "sequence contains 5.8S rRNA gene". The stretch from base 1 to 53 matches the Rfam family "5.8S ribosomal RNA", at positions 102 to 154 of the family's 154-position model. Lineage: Eukaryota; Fungi. The record is from RNAcentral.
GAACGCACAUUGCGCCCUUUGGUAUUCCGAAGGGCAUGUCUGUUCGAGCGUCAUUAUCACCCCUCAAGCCCCCGGCUUGGUGUUGGACGGUUGGUGACGAUUUCGUCACCCCUCCCAAAGACAAUGACGGCGGCCUCGUUGGACCCCCGGUACACUGAGUUCCUCACCGAACACGUAUCGGAUCAAGGGUACACGGGGCACGGUCUGCCUCCCCUCAGGGAGAACUUUUCUAAGGUUGACCUCGGAUCAGGUAGGGAUACCCGCUGAACUUAAG